CUGCUGCCUUCCGUAGGAGUCUGGGCCGUCUCUCAGUCCCAAUGUGGCCGUCCACCCUCUCAGGCCGGCUACUGAUCGUUGCUUUGGUGGGCCGUUACCCCGCCAACUGGCUAAUCAGACGCGGGCCCAUCCCAUACCACCGGAGUUUUUCACACUGCGCCAUGCGGCGCUGUGCGCUUAUGCGGUAUUAGCAGCCGUUUCCGGCUGUUAUCCCCCUGUAUGGGGCAGGUUGCCCACGCGUUACUCACCCGUCCG
Molecule: ribosomal RNA, 255 nt
Filed under: uncultured bacterium
Lineage: Bacteria
Description: partial 16S ribosomal RNA
Source: RNAcentral